This 408-nucleotide ribosomal RNA is filed under the name uncultured bacterium. Its description in RNAcentral is "bacterial SSU rRNA". It matches the Rfam family "Bacterial small subunit ribosomal RNA", at positions 335 to 734 of the family's 1533-position model. The record is from RNAcentral.
ACUCCUACGGGAGGCAGCAGUGGGGAAUAUUGCACAAUGGGCGCAAGCCUGAUGCAGCCAUGCCGCGUGUGUGAAGAAGGCCUUCGGGUUGUAAAGCACUUUCAGUUGUGAGGAAGGUGGUGUCGUUAAUAGCGGCAUCAUUUGACGUUAGCAACAGAAGAAGCACCGGCUAACUCCGUGCCAGCAGCCGCGGUAAUACGGAGGGUAGCGAGCGUUAAUCGGAAUUACUGGGCGUAAAGCGCAUGCAGGUGGUUUGUUAAGUCAGAUGUGAAAGCCCGGGGCUCAACCUCGGAACUGCAUUUGAAACUGGCAGACUAGAGUACUGUAGAGGGGGGUAGAAUUUCAGGUGUAGCGGUGAAAUGCGUAGAGAUCUGAAGGAAUACCGGUGGCGAAGGCGGCCCCCUGGAC